RNAcentral lists this transfer RNA (74 nucleotides) under Acidimicrobiaceae bacterium. RNAcentral's name for it is "tRNA-Thr(cgt)". It matches the Rfam family "tRNA". From Rfam's summary of the family: Transfer RNA (tRNA) molecules are approximately 80 nucleotides in length. Their secondary structure includes four short double-helical elements and three loops (D, anti-codon, and T loops). Further hydrogen bonds mediate the characteristic L-shaped molecular structure. tRNAs have two regions of fundamental functional importance: the anti-codon, which is responsible for specific mRNA codon recognition, and the 3' end, to which the tRNAs corresponding amino acid is attached (by aminoacyl-tRNA synthetases). tRNAs cope with the degeneracy of the genetic code in two manners: having more than one tRNA (with a specific anti-codon) for a particular amino acid; and 'wobble' base-pairing, i.e. permitting non-standard base-pairing at the 3rd anti-codon position. Lineage: Bacteria; Bacillati; Actinomycetota; Acidimicrobiia; Acidimicrobiales; Acidimicrobiaceae. The record is from RNAcentral.
GCCCGUGUAGCUCAGUUGGCAGAGCGGUUCAUUCGUAAUGAACAGGUCCGGGGUUCAAUUCCCCGCGCGGGCUC